AAAAUAAAAAGAAAUAAAACUAAAUAAAAUAAAUAAAAAUAACAAAACUUAAAAAUAAAAAGGAAAGAAAACCAAAAAUCCCCAAUUCCCCCAAACCCACGAAUUCCAUCAGACCCCCCAAUUCUCUUCUCUUUGUGGCUGCUCUGAACUUUCAUCACCACCACCUCACCAUCAUCAACCUCCCUGAGUCUCUCCUCUCCUCUCGUACUCUUCGCUGCGCCGCUGCCCCUUCACGGUUUCCUCCUUGCAAACAGUAAGUUUGCUCUAAUUUAUUUAGCCCCAAUUGCUCAAUAAUCAAGUGCUUUCCCAUGAAUGUUAAUCCUAAUUUUGCUAUAUUUCUUUCUUUGCAUGCAAAGCUUGUUGUCUGUUUGAUAUUUGCAAAUCAAAUCAAAUUACUUGUAAUUAGGGUUCGAAAAUGUAAUUGAAUUGGGGGUUUUAAAUUAUUUUGUUUUUUACUUGAAUUUUGUGUUUAAUUGAGCUUAAUUAUGCUUCUGAAUUGUUCUUCGAAUUUACUUGAACACAUUUGGAUCGAGUUACAUUUCAGAAAUUUGAUUUGUAUUUUCAAGGUUUUAGAAAUUUGAUUUAGUAAUAAUGCGAAACUUACUAGAGACAGAUUAAAAUUACGGUUAAAAUUGAAAGAGAAAUCUCUUUCAGUUUAAAAUAAAAUCCAAUAAAUAACUUUGUGCUUGAUCAAAUUCCCAACUCUGAUUGUGUUGAUUCUGGGAAUACCCAGAUAAAAAAAAAAGAUGUUUGCUGAGUUUGUUAUGUUACAAGUUUUUGACAAUUUCCCUCAAACAUAAUCCUAAUUAGACAAUAUCUGUAAGAACUUGUACAUUAGUAAUCUUUUUGAAUUGUCACCUUAGCAUUUUUAGUCGUGUUGUUUUUCAUUAUAAAAUUAUCUUGACUGAUUUUCAUAUGCAUGCAAUUGCUGAUUUUACUCUGUUAGACAAUUUCCGUCAAACAUAAUCCUACUUAGACAAUAUGUGUUUUCAGGAUGGUGAAAUUAAAUUCAAAAAGGAUGGUGAAAUUCGAUUGCCGAUGCUCUAUAACAGUCAUUACAGACUUAGAAUUAGACACCAAGAAGAAAAUUUUGAUGUUAGAUUCUCAAUUUUAUAAGUUGCUAAAUCUUAAAGAAAAAAAAAACAUCAAAUUUUCUUGUAUGUAGGUUUUUGCAAACCUAUGAUAAAGACAACAAUUGUUUUAAAGUUAAAGAUAAGACCAUAUCAUUCAGUCUUGGUGAUAUAGUAAAGAUCGCCGGUUUGCGUGAAACCGGUGAAUGCUUUACUGAGGAAAAAACCUAUAUGCAAACUCAAACCUGGUAUGAUGAGUUAUACCAGCGAUAUAAAUCUAGCAUUGAGGUAGCGAAAAGCAAGAAAGAAAAAACCCCGACAACGACUAAGUUCCAACAAGGGGGUAAAGUUAAAAGCUGUAGGUCUGGGCGUAUUACAACUGUUUUUUAUUUACUUCAGUUGACAGUUGAAAGCAAGUGUAGGGAAUAUUUCAAGCAUUAUCCCUAGCUUGAACCCCACUGUGAUCAUACACUUAAGCAUGGUGGCGUCCAAAGGGAAGGAAACUAGAGCAAAAGACUCGCCAACAAGUUUUAGGAACUUGUAAACCGUUCACGAGGUGAAGGUUACACCUCUAACGAUCCAGGAGAUUGUCAACUUCAAUAUGUCUGGAACCAUAACUGGUAUCUCGGGGAUGAAGGAUGAAGAAAUUUUUAGGAAGCUAUUAAGUUUCUACUUAAUGAGUUUUUUUGUAAAUGCACCAACGGAUGGCUUUGGAGCCUCCUUUUAAUUCUUGGCGGUAGAAAAUUUGGUCAGCUUUGAAAAGAUUUGUUGGGCGCAAGUGAUGCUCAACAAGAUUUUUGAGAAUGCUGAAAAGAUCGUUUCUAAUGACCAAAGAUACAACACAUGUUGCUUCCCGGUUGUCGAGGCGUUUGUAUAUGGCAAGCUUCAUCAACUUCUCAAGUCCAAACAAAUGAGCGACUGGAAGGAAGAUGAUAUUGAGCUUAACAGAUAUGAAUUCUUAAGAUGGAAUGACAAUGAUAUCCGACAAUUGAUUAUUGGUGAAGUAAGUUGAUUUUGGUGAUUAUUUAUUGAUCCCACAAUUGAUUAUUGGUGAAGUAAGUUGAUUUUGGUGAAUGUUUAAGCAAAAUGAGCUUGAGAAUCUGGAGCUUGCGGCACAACAUCCGGUGAAUUACUCUUUUGGUGGUCUAACUUGUUUGUCUGUUGUUCAUAUUACAUUGACAUUUCUUCAAUAAGUAAUUCUUUUCCCAAAUAUGGAGUAAUUGUUUUCUGGUUGGGUUGGUCUGAGUGCCAACAAGCCUUACUCUAUACAACUUGCAUAAUGAUUACAACCUGAUUGUUUGAUUUUAUUUGUGAGUAUGUUUAGAUAUUAAAGUUUCUUUAUCAGCCAAUCAACUAUUAUCUAUAAAUCAUUUCUUGUUCA
Molecule: long non-coding RNA, 2451 nt
Organism: Chenopodium quinoa (quinoa)
Lineage: Eukaryota; Viridiplantae; Streptophyta; Magnoliopsida; Caryophyllales; Amaranthaceae
Exons: 3
Source: RefSeq, a predicted model, not a curated record